GACGAACGCUGGCGGCGUGCCUAAUACAUGCAAGUUGAGCGCUGAAGGUUGGUACUUGUACCAACUGGAUGAGCAGCGAACGGGUGAGUAACGCGUGGGGAAUCUGCCUUUGAGCGGGGGACAACAUUUGGAAACGAAUGCUAAUACCGCAUAAAAACUUUAAACACAAGUUUUAAGUUUGAAAGAUGCAAUUGCAUCACUCAAAGAUGAUCCCGCGUUGUAUUAGCUAGUUGGUGAGGUAAAGGCUCACCAAGGCGAUGAUACAUAGCCGACCUGAGAGGGUGAUCGGCCACAUUGGGACUGGGACACGGCCCAAACUCCUACGGGAGGCAGCAGGAGGGAAUCUUCGGCGAUGGACGAAAGUCUGACCGAGCAACGCCGCGUGAGUGAAGAAGGUUUUCGGAUCGUAAAACUCUGUUGGUAGAGAAGAACGUUGGUGGGAGUGGAAAGCUCAUCAAGUGACGGUAACUACCCAGAAAGGGACGGCUAACUACGUG
This 497-nucleotide ribosomal RNA is filed under the name uncultured bacterium. RNAcentral describes it as "partial 16S ribosomal RNA". It matches the Rfam family "Bacterial small subunit ribosomal RNA", at positions 28 to 507 of the family's 1533-position model. The record is from RNAcentral.